CGUCGAUUAGGGGGAUGGUGGGGGAGCUGCUGGCGGUGGCGAAUAAGGAGAAAGCGGUUAUCUCGCUUGGAAUAGGAGAUGCUGCGGCGUACCCGUGCUUCCGCAAGGGGCAGGAGGUGUUCUCACAGGCGGUGGCGGAGGCUGUCGUGUCCCGGAAGUUCGACUGCUAUGCUCCUUCGUUUGGGUUACCCUCUGCUCGCAGAGCUGUGGCGAAGCACUUAUCUUCUGGGUUGAAGCAGCAAGCAGCUAUUGGAGAAACCGACGUUUUCCUGACCGUCGGAGGAACUCAGGCGCUGCAAGUUUGCGUGACAGUGUUGGCAGCACCAGGAUCUAACCUCCUACUGCCUCGUCCCGG
RNAcentral lists this unclassified non-coding RNA (355 nucleotides) under Hevea brasiliensis (rubber tree). The record is from RNAcentral. Lineage: Eukaryota; Viridiplantae; Streptophyta; Magnoliopsida; Malpighiales; Euphorbiaceae.